CGAGUGGCGGACGGGUGAGUAAUGUCUGGGAAACUGCCUGAUGGAGGGGGAUAACUACUGGAAACGGUAGCUAAUACCGCAUAACGUCGCAAGACCAAAGAGGGGGACCUUCGGGCCUCUUGCCAUCGGAUGUGCCCAGAUGGGAUUAGCUAGUAGGUGGGGUAACGGCUCACCUAGGCGACGAUCCCUAGCUGGUCUGAGAGGAUGACCAGCCACACUGGAACUGAGACACGGUCCAGACUCCUACGGGAGGCA
RNAcentral lists this ribosomal RNA (255 nucleotides) under Escherichia coli. Its description in RNAcentral is "partial 16S ribosomal RNA". It matches the Rfam family "Bacterial small subunit ribosomal RNA", at positions 92 to 350 of the family's 1533-position model. The record is from RNAcentral. Lineage: Bacteria; Pseudomonadati; Pseudomonadota; Gammaproteobacteria; Enterobacterales; Enterobacteriaceae.